Molecule: ribosomal RNA, 563 nt
Filed under: Dacryopinax sphenocarpa
Lineage: Eukaryota; Fungi; Basidiomycota; Dacrymycetes; Dacrymycetales; Dacrymycetaceae
Description: eukaryotic LSU rRNA
Rfam family: Eukaryotic large subunit ribosomal RNA
Source: RNAcentral
AACUAACAAGGAUUCCCCUAGUAACUGCGAGUGAAGCGGGAAAAGCUCAAAUUUAUAAUCUGGCGCAAGCCCGAGUUGUAGUCUGUAGAAGCGUUUUCGGCCGUUGCCUUGGACAAGUCCCUUGGAACAGGGCGUCAUAGAGGGUGAGAAUCCCGUCCUUGCCAAGCUCCCAACGUCUUUGUGAUACGUCUUCCAAGAGUCGAGUUGUUUGGGAAUGCAGCUCAAAAUGGGUGGUAAAUUCCAUCUAAAGCUAAAUAUUGGCGAGAGACCGAUAGCGAACAAGUACCGUGAGGGAAAGAUGAAAAGAACUUUGAAAAGAGAGUUAAACAGUACGUGAAAUUGCUGAAAGGGAAGCGCUUGAAGUCAGUCGCGUUGGCAGGGACUCAGCCUUAACCGGUGCAUUUCCUUGUCGACGGGCCAACAUCGAUUUCGGCCGCGGAAUAAGGGCACGGGGAAUGUGGCAGCUUCGGCUGUGUUAUAGCCUCAUGUCGCACGCCGCGGACGGGAUCGAGGACCGCGGCUUUUGCCUAGGAUGUUGGCGUAAUGGCUUUAAGCGACCCGUC